CCGUCGCGACUAGUACCUGGGGUAAGUUUUCCUGAAGCUUAUCGGAACGUGUAGUUCUGUUGCCUCCUGCCAAAAGUCUGAACAGGAGUCGCCGGAAGUACGGUAGCUUGCCGGAAAUCCUCGCCGGGAAAAUAAGGCACCUGAUUGGAGAAUCUCUUAGACAAACAAGCAGUAAAGCUCAGCAAUUCCAGAAUAAAAUAGCAAAAUCAGCGGAAAUCGAGCGGCAAAUCCACGGCUCUUUAAUAGCUUGAAAUCACUGAUUACUCAAGUGCCAACUAAAGGACAAGAGAACGAAGAUGAAGCUCAGCGGAUCCACAGUACAGCAGCAAAACCAGCAAACUUGUAAUUCAAAAUAGCCUUCGAAAACCAAUUUAAUGACUCCUUUCAAUUCAAACAAUAAAAGAAACUCAAAACCCAAAAUGGGUUUGAUUCAAAAACCGAUCUUUUAACAGAAAAGUCCAAGAAUUUGCAGGAAAAAAAAUUGGGUUGAAAUAAUAGUAACUAAAAUUUAAAGAACCCCACUUUCUGAGAAUAGCUCAAUUAAUCAGAACUUUCUAAAGGGAGGGGGGAGGGGAGGAAUACGCUCACAAGAUUAGGGAGAGCUGAGCUGGGGUAGAGAGCAUAGAGGGAGAGCAUCAACUGUUUCCCGAUAAUAAACUAAACCUUCUUGCUUAACCCUAAAGUUGAUUGUAAUAUGUUUUACAAAAGGCAUGAACUGAUAUCGCCCAAGCUUGGACCUGCUAUCAUCUUCUCAAAAUCUAAGGAGUUACACUUCUAAGUUAUAUUUUUAGACCCUCCAAGCAGUUAGGAUACAUCAUUGCAUACUUUUAAUCACAAAAUAUGACAUACAGAUUCGAUUUAAGAAGCCCAAUAGCAUUUAAAUAAAAAAAAAGUAUUUUUGCAGAAAACAGCUGAAAUCGUACUCUCACGAAAAGAAUAGAUAUAAAUGACCAUUAAUAAUAUUUUAUCGCCCAAGUAGUUAGAACACAAAAUUGUAUAUCCAAGAAGAGAGACAUAACCAUGGUUAAAUUAGUUAUUUAAGUAAAUAGAUCUUGUCCGUCAAUAAGUUAGCAGAACACGUGUCAAAGGAUGAAAAUCCUAUUGAAGGAUACUGGAGCAAUCUUUACCCGAGGGAUUCUCAUCCAUAAAGAACCCUUGUGUGAAUCUCCUUCUAUCUUUCAUUAAUAGAAUAAUCAACCUAAAUGACUGCUCGCUGCCAGAAUCCAUAUGUGUUUUUUGGACUCAAAAUAAUAUUUUAGGUGGAAGAAAAAAUAGUUAUCAUUUUAUGUAAAACACGGUUAUAAA
Molecule: long non-coding RNA, 1305 nt
Filed under: Nicotiana benthamiana
Lineage: Eukaryota; Viridiplantae; Streptophyta; Magnoliopsida; Solanales; Solanaceae
Description: long non-coding RNA (NBEN_LNC007479)
Source: RNAcentral